Molecule: long non-coding RNA, 250 nt
Filed under: Lathyrus oleraceus (garden pea)
Lineage: Eukaryota; Viridiplantae; Streptophyta; Magnoliopsida; Fabales; Fabaceae
Description: Pisum sativum (pea) long non-coding RNA (PSAT_LNC010891)
Source: RNAcentral
UAAAAUAAUUUUGCCAAUGGUGUUUGUUAUUUUAUAAUUAAAAUAUAAAUUAUAAUAACCCAAAUUCAUCUAAGCAUGUUAUCAUCCGAUAAUCUAUUUCUAAUAUAUUUAAUCUGAAGUUGCAAAAAAAUCAUAUAGCACAUCUUAAAACUCCUUUUUUUUUUCUUUUUUUCAUAUGAACAAAAAUCAUAGAUAUUAUUUAUAUGAGAUUAUGGGUUGGAUCCAUCACAAAGACAAAAUUAUACUAAAC